This 247-nucleotide ribosomal RNA is filed under the name uncultured Arthrobacter sp. RNAcentral describes it as "partial 16S ribosomal RNA". It matches the Rfam family "Bacterial small subunit ribosomal RNA", at positions 796 to 1041 of the family's 1533-position model. The record is from RNAcentral. Lineage: Bacteria; Bacillati; Actinomycetota; Actinomycetes; Micrococcales; Micrococcaceae.
CAUGCCGUAAACGUUGGGCACUAGGUGUGGGGGACAUUCCACGUUUUCCGCGCCGUAGCUAACGCAUUAAGUGCCCCGCCUGGGGAGUACGGCCGCAAGGCUAAAACUCAAAGGAAUUGACGGGGGCCCGCACAAGCGGCGGAGCAUGCGGAUUAAUUCGAUGCAACGCGAAGAACCUUACCAAGGCUUGACAUGAACUGGAAACACCUGGAAACAGGUGCCCCGCUUGCGGUCGGUUUACAGGUGG